Molecule: transfer RNA, 93 nt
Filed under: Gemmata obscuriglobus
Lineage: Bacteria; Pseudomonadati; Planctomycetota; Planctomycetia; Gemmatales; Gemmataceae
Description: tRNA-Sec
Rfam family: Selenocysteine transfer RNA
Source: RNAcentral
GGAGCGUUUGCACGACUGGUGUCGGCCCAGGUCUUCAAAACCUGUGUAGGGUGUGAACAACGCUCUAGGUGGGUUCGAUUCCCAUCCGCUCCC